GUCUACGGCCAUGCCACCCUGAACGAGCCCGAUCCUAUCUGAUCUCAGAAGCUAAGCAGGGUUGGCCCUGGUUAGUACUUGGAUGGGAGACCACCUAGGAAGACUGGGUUCUGUAGGCA
This 119-nucleotide ribosomal RNA is filed under the name Pteropus alecto (black flying fox). The record is from RNAcentral. Lineage: Eukaryota; Metazoa; Chordata; Mammalia; Chiroptera; Pteropodidae.